RNAcentral lists this ribosomal RNA (556 nucleotides) under [Candida] sp. UWO(PS)91-127.1. RNAcentral's name for it is "LSU rRNA". It matches the Rfam family "Eukaryotic large subunit ribosomal RNA", at positions 62 to 638 of the family's 3401-position model. The record is from RNAcentral. Lineage: Eukaryota; Fungi; Ascomycota; Saccharomycetes; Saccharomycetales.
AAACCAACAGGGAUUGCCUUAGUAACGGCGAGUGAAGCGGCAAAAGCUCAAAUUUGAAAUCUGACACUUUCAGUGUCCGAGUUGUAAUUUGAAGAAAGUUUCUCUGAGUAGUCCUUUAUCUAUGUUCCUUGGAACAGGACGUCAUAGAGGGUGAGAACCCCGUAUGAUUUUGGAUACUAUUCUUUGUGAGAUUCUUUCGAAGAUUCGAGUUGUUUGGGAAUGCAGCUCUAAGUGGGUGGUAAAUUCCAUCUAAAGCUAAAUAUUGGCGAGAGACCGAUAGCGAACAAGUACAGUGAUGGAAAGAUGAAAAGAACUCUGAAGAGAGAGUGAAAAAGUACGUGAAAUUGCUGAAAGGGAAGGGCUUUAAGUGAGACUUGGUGUUUGGUGAUUAUCUUCCCUUCUGGGUUGUGCACUCGCUUUUCACUGGGCCAAUAUCAGUUUUGGAGACAAAGUACCUAUUGGAAUGUAGCUUCUCUCGAGAAGUGUUAUAGCCUUUAGACGAUUUGUUUCUGGGACUGAGGACUGCGCAUUUAUGCUAGGAUAUUGGCGUAAUAAC